CGGCGGCCUGGACGUAGGUGCGCGCCCGGCCCGCCAUGACCGCGCCGAGCACGUCGAACGGCUCGGGUUCCGCCGCCGGAGCCGCCGG
Molecule: transfer RNA, 88 nt
Filed under: Actinoallomurus iriomotensis
Lineage: Bacteria; Bacillati; Actinomycetota; Actinomycetes; Streptosporangiales; Thermomonosporaceae
Description: tRNA-His
Source: RNAcentral